CCCAGCAACCAUGGAUUGUUUUUCAGAAAAAAUUAAUUUUAUAUUAUAAAAGUUUUAAAUUAUAUAAAGUCUUUAGGAAUGUGUCUUGACAUAAAUAAGAACAUUCUGUACCAAAGUGCUAAAGGUUCAAAUGUGUCCUUCCAAAAUAGGUUGGAGUCCUUGCCCCGGUGCCUGUAAAAAUGACCUUAUUUGGAAUUAGGGUCAUUACAGAUCACCAUGUUGAGAUGAGGCCAUUUGGUGGGAUCUGAUCCAACAUGACUGAUAUCCUUACAUAAAGGGGAAAUCUGGGCACAGAGACUUGUAAGUAGAGGGAAAUGAUGUGAAGACAGAGAGAAGGCCAUCUGUAAGACAAGUAGUGCCCAAGGCUACUGAGAGCUGGGAGGGAGGCAUGGAAUAGAUGGCUACUUACUGCUCUUGAAGGAACCAACCCUAUUGAAAUGUUGAUUCAAACUUCCAGCUUUUAGACCUUUGAGUCAAAAAAAAUUUCUGCUGGCUAAGCCACCCAUUCAUUGAUGCUUUGUUAUGGGAGCUCUUGCCAGCUGAUGCAUCAAGUGACUGGCCUGAUUUAAAAUUACUCAUUGUUGAGGAUGAAAAGUGGUGAUCUCAAUGUUUUGGCCAACAGAGGACCCUGAGAAAAACCUCUUAGGGGGAGGGAAUGUCCUUCCUGUGGUUACCUGUCCCAAGGGGAAACCUGGCUUUCUCAUCCAGUCACUACCCUAGCAGUGUUAUUCGUUCAUCAGGUACAUUUCUGAGAGAUUGGUGGCCUUGAAGCUGGAAAAUAGGACUUUGAUUGGGUUGAAGAAAUUUCAAGGGGGUCUUGGAGGAAUGCCCUGAUGACCAGAAACACUUCCCAUCUUAUAAUCAAGUGGGGUCAAUUGUUGGGAGCAAUCAAAAGAGAUGAAGUUUGUCAAGGAGGUGAGAGGUAAAGUUCAUCACCUGCAGUUUUGCUUGGAGCCAGGACUGGACAAUAAGGGCAGACUAGGCUGAGAGGUAAGAG
This 997-nucleotide long non-coding RNA is filed under the name Marmota monax (woodchuck). The record is from RNAcentral. Lineage: Eukaryota; Metazoa; Chordata; Mammalia; Rodentia; Sciuridae.